AUGGAGAAAGAAGAAAUUCUGACUCCACUCACUACAACCUCGGCUCUUGAGAAGAGUGCGUACGGACUGGGCUUCUUCCUGGGACUUCUUGAAUAUUCUUACGACAAGACAGCUGGCUUCCCACUGAGAAAGCAAUCCAAGGUGGAUUCCAAGCAGGAAGUUGAUGAUCAGGACAACCAUGAAAUCCAGAUGUUGAAGGUGGUAGAGCCUCCAUCAGCCUGGAGGUCUGCAGGACUGAGGUAUAAGGAACACUUUCUCUCAACCAUCGACAUUUUAAAGAAGAUGAAGCUUUGGAAAGGUCUUUAGACAUAGCCGGGAGCUUUGUUCACACUCCCGACAUUGCUGUCCGAUAAAACAGUACUGCAGAGAUGAAGUAACUUGCCCUAACGUCCAUACCUGGUAAGUAACAAAAGAAGUAAAUACAUUUGAACAAAUAUUUGAAAAACAUGGAAGUUCUCUAUAAUCUAACACUUCAAAUAUAACCAUAGUUUGGGAUAUGAAUUUAAGUACUUAUUAUAUACACAUAAAAACCAAUAUUUAUAGUUUUUCCAAAAAUGGAAUUAUACUAUAUGUAAAAAUGAGUCUACAAAUUGUUUUUAUGAAUACUUUAUAGAGAUAGAAUGUCUUAUUUUCUCUCUGCUAAUAUGUAGAUGGUAGAGAGCAGAAGGUAGCAAACUGGAAAGGACCAGAUCAUGAAUCCUUAGGCUUUGUGGACCCUACAGUCUCUGUCACAGAUACUUAACCCUGCUGUUGUGUUGCAAAAGCAGCUCUGGGUCAAUAUGUAAGCAAAAGUGUGAUCACAUUCCAAUAAUAUGAGAUUUAUAAAACAAACACCAGGUAACAACUGUCCAGCGGAUUGUGGUUUGCUAAUUCCUGGAAUACAGAAGGAAAAAAACAUUACAUUGAUUUAGAAAACAAUGAAGGUGAGCAGGGAGCAUAAUGUUUAUCCUGGGUGUAGGGGCCAGAAACUGGAUUUGAGUUUCCAUGUCAGCUGUGACCUUGAUUAAGGUAGGUAGACUCACUGCCUCAUGAGUAGAGUGUGAGUACUAAUACCCAGAUUUCAGGGUUAUCCUGAAGCUUAAUGAAAUAAUUCAUGCAAUUCAUCUGUUAGUAGGUAAGAAAACUUGCUUUCUUUGGGGAUAGGGGUAAAAGCAGUAUUUAUGUACUCACAUAGACGAAGCAUUUGAGCAAGGAAGAAGUGGUCGAAUUUGCCGUAUCUCGACAAGUCAAAGAUAUACAUCAUAUGGAUCCCCUCAAAAGUCAUGUUUCCAACUAUUGGCAAAGGUUGUGUAGACAGAACUAUUACCAGAAUGGUCCUGAGAUUUCCUGAGAAAGGAUUAACAUACUUGGCCUGGAACUUUUGCAAUAAAUGAAACAUUAGCGUUAAUUCAUAAUGAUUUAAAAAGAUAGAAGAUAUUUUAGAGGGAAAAAUCUAAUUACAGUGAAAAUAAAAUUUCAUUUAUUCAUCAUUUCCUUCAUUAUUAUUUUUGGGGAAAGAUAAAUAAGUACAUGCAAAGAAUAGCAAAGAAAAACAUCGAAGUGUACUAGGAGACAAUAAGGAAUUGAUGUGAUGCUGCCUAACUGUAAAUUUCUCUUAUUAUACAUCAUAUUUUAUUUAAUCUUCCAGUGUACAUAUUGGGUAAGUUCAAUUGGUAUUUUAAAACAGAAUCUAUAUAGCAGUUCUAAAUAACCUUAUUGCUUUUUUUCUAAUUGAUUUUGAACUUAAUGUAUUUUUUAUGACUUUGUAACUUUGUUUCCUGCUCUGCUUGGUGUAGUUAUACAUUCGGUUGAGUGCUUUAAGAUUUGAACACAGUUUUCUUGUUAUUUUAUUUUGCAGUUGCUUUUCAUUCAG
Molecule: long non-coding RNA, 1852 nt
Filed under: Callithrix jacchus (white-tufted-ear marmoset)
Lineage: Eukaryota; Metazoa; Chordata; Mammalia; Primates; Cebidae
Description: lncRNA (ENSCJAG00000071197.1)
Source: RNAcentral